CAAAAGCAAGAAAUAUUUUGGCCUUCACCAUUUUUUUAUUAGAAGAAUACCUUAGGUGAUGUUGAUUUUAUCAUUAAUUAAUGCUUAUCGAUUAUGCAAGCAUAUUUUUUUUAUGCAAAAUGGGAGCUGAUGUAUUAUCAUUCCGUUUUGGAGUGUGAAUAUGACCGCUAAAACACUUCCGUGACUUUGUCAAUUGGCCUCUGAUAGAUUAGUACGGAGUUAUUAAUAUUUUGAAUCAAUGUAGAAAUUACAGUUGUUAUGGAAUCAUCAGUUGACGAAUUUACCAUUUUGUUAUACUUCUCGUUUCACCAUUACAGUUUAAAUUCUUCACUAAGAGUUUUCAUUGUUAAUUAUUCUAUAUGCGUCCUUUGAGGCUUUGUACACAUCAAUGCAAGAACGUUCUAAAAAUUUUUUAUGGUUCCAUGGUACUUUUGUUACCAUAUGAACUUCAAGAUGUAUGUUUCCUGCCAUAACUUUUACAUUAUGCAUUGAUGAGGGACAUCUUCCUUCAAGAAUAAUUUUAUAUCCAAGUGUUGUUUUAAUCAAAGUGUAAGUUAAUUCAGAGUUUUUUUGUGGUCAACCAACAAUUCUUUUAUGUAGGAUCAGCCCUAUAGGAGUUGAGAUAGGAUGUUCCCUUUUAGAUAUAGCCUAUUAUAAAGAGGAUAGUAGUUGGUUAUUAUUAUAAUAGGAUUUAUGUUUCCUUUUAUUUUAGAGUUUUAUUUCCUUUUUAGGAUUUUAGUUUACUUUCCAUUUAGAAUUUUAGUUUUUACCUUAUAUUUAAGGGAAUUAUUUCAAUAAGCAUUUUUUACAACAAAAUUAUUUUUUUACAUAUUUUCAAGGUUUUCAAAUUUAUUUUUGUUAUAAAAUUUUCAAUUUUGCUUCCGCCCCACUUUUUCUGAAGUCACUAAGGAAGUCUUGUGUGCUGCAGGCAGCAAUGAAUGAUAAUUUGACAGAAGCCAAUACCGCAAAGCAAAACUCAAAAAGAUUCAGCACUAAGAAGCCUUCUGUGUUGCAGGCAACAAAGAAAGAUGAUGUGACCAGAGCAAGAACUUGUGUCACCAAAGGCAUUUCAGUUGGCAAAAUUCAAUCUAAUUCGUCUUCUUUUAAGGGAAAAAAUGAUUUCUCUGAGGCCAUUGGUGAGGGAAAAGAAUUUUCGGUGAAUCCAUCUUCACGUGACGUUCCAAAGAAAAUUUGUGAGUCAAAUAUACCCGAAUCAGAAGAUGAGGUGGUGCAACAAGCGAUGGAAUUGGACAUUCCAAAGAAAAGUUGUGAAUCAAAUAUACACGAUUCAGAAGAUGAGGUGAUGCAACAAGCAAUGGAAUUCUUAGGAGAGUUUCACAACCAUGAACUUU
RNAcentral lists this long non-coding RNA (1352 nucleotides) under Olea europaea (common olive). RNAcentral describes it as "long non-coding RNA (OEUR_LNC003031)". Lineage: Eukaryota; Viridiplantae; Streptophyta; Magnoliopsida; Lamiales; Oleaceae. The record is from RNAcentral.